GGAGGCUUUGAAGUGUGGACGCCAGUCUGCAUGGAGCCGACCUUGAAAUACCACCCUUUAAUGUUUGAUGUUCUAACGUUGACCCGUAAUCCGGGUUGCGGACAGUGUCUGGUGGGUAGUUUGACUGGGGCGGUCUCCUCCUAAAGAGUAACGGAGGAGCACGAAGGUUGGCUAAUCCUGGUCGGACAUCAGGAGGUUAGUGCAAUGGCAUAAGCCAGCUUGACUGCGAGCGUGACGGCGCGAGCAGGUGCGAAAGCAGGUCAUAGUGAUCCGGUGGUUCUGAAUGGAAGGGCCAUCGCUCAACGGAUAAAAGGUACUCCGGGGAUAACAGGCUGAUACCGCCCAAGAGUUCAUAUCGACGGCGGUGUUUGGCACCUCGAUGUCGGCUCAUCACAUCCUGGGGCUGAAGUAGGUCCCAAGGGUAUGGCUGUUCGCCAUUUAAAGUGGUACGCGAGCUGGGUUUAGAACGUCGUGAGACAGUUCGGUCCCUAUCUGCCGUGGGCGCUGGAGAACUGAGGGGGGCUGCUCCUAGUACGAGAGGACCGGAGUGGACGCAUCACUGGUGUUCGGGUUGUCAUGCCAAUGGCACUGCCCGGUAGCUAAAUGCGGAAGAGAUAAGUGCUGAAAGCAUCUAAGCACGAAACUUGCC
Molecule: ribosomal RNA, 649 nt
Filed under: Escherichia coli
Lineage: Bacteria; Pseudomonadati; Pseudomonadota; Gammaproteobacteria; Enterobacterales; Enterobacteriaceae
Description: partial 23S ribosomal RNA
Rfam family: Bacterial large subunit ribosomal RNA
Source: RNAcentral